GGUUAUGCUAAUAAGAGCGUAUGGUGGAUGCCUUGGCACUAAGAGCCGAUGAAAGACGUGAUAAGCUGCGAAAAGCUUCGGGGAGGAGCAAAUAUCCAUUGAUCCGGAGAUAUCUGAAUGGGGAAACCUACUUGAGAAAACCUCAAGUAUCCACAGCCCAAUCCAUAAGCUGUGGAAGGGAACCCGGUGAACUGAAACAUCUAAGUAGCCGGAGGAAGAGAAAACAACAUGUGAUUCCGUAAGUAGCGGCGAGCGAACGCGGAAGAGCCCAAACCGGAGUGCGUGCACUCCGGGGUUCGGACUGCAGGAUUGACGAGUGAGCCUAGUAGAAUGGUUUUGGGAAAGCCAGCCAGAGAGGGUGAAAGCCCCGUACACGAAAGGCAAGCGAGCAUGGCAGGAUCCAGAGUACCACGAGACACGUGAAACCUUGUGGGAAUGAGCGGGGACCACCCCGUAAGGCUAAAUACUCCUUAGUGACCGAUAGCGCAUAGUACUGUGAAGGAAAGGUGAAAAGGACCCCGGGAGGGGAGUGAAAGAGAACCUGAAACCAUAUGUUUACAAGCUGUGGAACAUCUUUAUAUGAUGAACCGCGUACUUUUUGUAGAACGGUCCGGCGAGUUACGCUGGCUGGCGAGGUUAAGGGCUGAAGGCCUGGAGCCGAAGGGAAACCGAGUCUGAACAGGGCGAAAUAGUCAGUCGGAGUAGACCCGAAACCGGGUGAUCUAUCCAUGUCCAGGUUGAAGUUGCCGUAAAAGGCAAUGGAGGACCGAACCCACAUCCGUUGAAAAGGGUGGGGAUGAGGUGUGGAUAGGGGAGAAAUUCCAAUCGAACCCGGAGAUAGCUGGUUCUCCUCGAAAUAGCUUUAGGGCUAGCCUCAUGCAAGUCUUACGGAGGUAGAGCACUGAAUUCCUAAGGGGGCGUCAAAGCUUACCAAGGGAUAUCAAACUCCGAAUGCCGUGUAGAUGGUGCAUGGGAGUCAGACUAUCCGAGAUAAGUUGGGUAGUCAAAAGGGAAAGAGCCCAGACCUACAGCUAAGGUCCCAAAAUGUGUGUUAAGUGGAAAAGGAUGUGGGAUUUCGAAGACAACUAGGAUGUUGGCUUAGAAGCAGCCAUCCAUUAAAAGAGUGCGUAAUAGCUCACUAGUCGAGAGGUCCUGCGCCGAAAAUGUCCGGGGCUGAAACACACUACCGAAGCUUAGGAAUUGACGAAUGUUAAUUGGUAGAGGAGCAUUCUUAACGGGGCGAAGCUGUACCGGAAGGAGCAGUGGACUGUUAAGAAGAGAGAAUGCCGGAAUGAGUAGCGAGAGGAAGGUGAGAAUCCUUCCGGCCGAAUAUCUAAGGUUUCCAGAGUAAAGCUGAUCUGCUCUGGGUAAGUCGGGGCCUAAGGCGAGGUCGAAAGACGUAGUCGAUGGAUAACAGGUAAAGAUUCCUGUACUAUAUCAUAACAGAACUGUGGGGACGCAGACAGAGAGCAUAAGCCGGGAAUGGAAAGACCGGUACAAGCGAGGUAGGAGUGCAUCAGGCAAAUCCGGUGCACAAUCUGAAGACGUGAUGUGGGGCGUAAAGCCGGAAGUAUGUGAGCUGGCUGCCAAGAAAAGCCGCUAUUGUUUAUGAUAUACCCGUACCGUAAACCGACACAGGUGGAUGAGGAGAGAAUCCUAAGGCCGACGGGAGAAGCAUUGUUAAGGAACUCGGCAAAAUGACUCCGUAACUUCGGGAGAAGGAGUGCCAUGUAAAAGUGGCCGCAGAGAAUUGGCCCAAGCAACUGUUUAGCAAAAACACAGGUCUAUGCAAAACCGAAAGGUGAGGUAUAUGGGCUGACGCCUGCCCGGUGCUGGAAGGUUAAGGGGAGAGGUUAGUCGUAAGGCGAAGCUUUGAACUUAAGCCCCAGUAAACGGCGGCCGUAACUAUAACGGUCCUAAGGUAGCGAAAUUCCUUGUCGGGUAAGUUCCGACCCGCACGAAAGGCGUAAUGAUUUGGGCACUGUCUCAACAAUGCACCCGGUGAAAUUGAAAUACCAGUGAAGAUGCUGGUUACCUGCGCCAGGACGGAAAGACCCCAUGGAGCUUUACUCCAGCUUGAUACUGGGAUUCGAUAUUGCAUGUACAGGAUAGGUGGGAGACUGAGAACUGAUGACGCCAGUUGUCAGGGAGUCACUGUUGGGAUACCACCCUUGUAGUAUUGGAUUUCUAACCAGCAGCCGUGAACCGGCUGGGGGACAAUGUCAGGUGGGGAGUUUGACUGGGGCGGUCGCCUCCGAAAGGGUAUCGGAGGCGCUCAAAGGUUCCCUCAGAAUGGUUGGAAACCAUUCGAAGAGUGCAAAGGCAGAAGGGAGCUUGACUGCGACACCGACGGGUGGAGCAGGUACGAAAGUAGGACUUAGUGAUCCGGUGGUAUAAAGUGGGAUUGCCAUCGCUCAACGGAUAAAAGCUACCCUGGGGAUAACAGGCUUAUCACUCCCAAGAGUUCACAUCGACGGAGUGGUUUGGCACCUCGAUGUCGGCUCAUCGCAUCCUGGGGCUGAAGUAGGUCCCAAGGGUUGGGCUGUUCGCCCAUUAAAGCGGUACGCGAGCUGGGUUCAGAACGUCGUGAGACAGUUCGGUCCCUAUCCGGCGUGGGCGUAGGAUAUUUGAGAGGAGCUGCCCUUAGUACGAGAGGACCGGGGUGGACUGGCCGCUGGUGGAUCUGUUGUAUUACCAAAUGCAUAGCAGAGUAGCCAAGCCGGGACGGGAUAAACGCUGAAGGCAUCUAAGCGUGAAGCCCCCCUCAAGAUGAGAUAUCCCAUAACGUCAAGUUAGUAAGACCCCUUGAAGACGACGAGGUAGAUAGGGCAGAGGUGGAAGUGCGGUAACGCAUGGAGCUGACUGUUACUAAUAGGUCGAGGGCAUAACCAA
This 2892-nucleotide ribosomal RNA is filed under the name Mediterraneibacter gnavus. RNAcentral describes it as "23S ribosomal RNA". It matches the Rfam family "Bacterial large subunit ribosomal RNA". The record is from RNAcentral. Lineage: Bacteria; Bacillati; Bacillota; Clostridia; Lachnospirales; Lachnospiraceae.